UUACAUUAAAAACACACUAAAACAUCCUCUUAUUACUUUGUUACUUGAGCAUCAAUUUAAAUUGGCAAUACUUAUCUCUAAUCUAGGGCACCAACUUAAAGACUAAAAAAUACAAGGUAAGGGCGGAGUCUCACAAUGAGAUGAGGGUAAUUUGGUGUUUUCUUGUCAUCUGCAUUUUAUGCACCAAUGUCCAGUCCAGACAUCGUCAUCAACAGCAGCGUUUGAAGCAACUCCUUCUACAUCGGCGACAAG
This is a long non-coding RNA of Saccostrea cuccullata (small rock oyster), 252 nucleotides long. RefSeq lists it as uncharacterized. NCBI's taxonomy places the organism in Eukaryota, Metazoa, Mollusca, Bivalvia, Ostreida, Ostreidae. The transcript has 2 exons. The record is from RefSeq and is a predicted model, not a curated record.